CCCAGUGUGGCACAGUGGUUUGAGUGUUCAACUACAACUCUGAAGACCAGGGUUGGAUUCCCAGCUCAGCCA
This 72-nucleotide transfer RNA is filed under the name Phrynosoma platyrhinos (Desert horned lizard). Its description in RNAcentral is "tRNA-OTHER". The record is from RNAcentral. Lineage: Eukaryota; Metazoa; Chordata; Lepidosauria; Squamata; Phrynosomatidae.